Molecule: long non-coding RNA, 1799 nt
Organism: Colossoma macropomum (tambaqui)
Lineage: Eukaryota; Metazoa; Chordata; Actinopteri; Characiformes; Serrasalmidae
Exons: 3
Source: RefSeq, a predicted model, not a curated record
CCCAUCACUGACGGCCAACAGCUCGCAGUAGCUACGUGAGGGGCGGAGCCUCGAGCACAGCACUGCGCUGAGGAGAGCUACAUAUGGGGACACUGGCUUAAACAGUGGUCGGUCAAAUGAAACGGCACCGCAGAGGGCAGUAACAGGAGGAGAGGAUGUCAGGCCCAAAGAAGAAGAUUAAAAUGCCGGCUGCUCUUUACAUCAUGUGGCAUUAACAAAGAGUUUCUCUCGGAGGGAGUUCAGCUGGAAGAAAUCAUUUAAGAGAGCCGUGCCAUCUUUCCCCCGAGCAUACACAAGGCCACCUCUGCCUUUCCUGGACAUUUGAUGCUCAUUGAUUUCCACGAGCAAACAAGCAGGGCUUGUUUAUCUGAGAGAGCCCAGAGACAGUCGAGGCUUUAGCGAAGAAUGACAGAAUCAGAAUGUGUGUAAAGUCAGAGAGAGCGAGCACCAGCAGGGCAGACUCACAUAGUGGCCCACUCCUAAAAUUAACUGUACAUUUUCUUUUUAAUUUUAUAUCUGUGUUAGGAAGCUCAUCUAAAUCAGCAGUCUCAAAAUCAAUAAAGGACAGUAUAUAUAGUCGUAUGAAAAUGUUGCACCCCUUGGUCAAAUUACAUGUUUUGUUGAUUUUGUGUAAAUAAGUUAACACAUCCUCUACAGAGAACACACUUCUGCACACUUUACUGCAGAAUUACUGUUUAUUUGCUGAAUUUAACAUAUCAGAAAAACAUAAAAUGUGGCCUUUGCGAAAGUUAUGACACAUUUUGUAUUGUUAUACAGACUGCACACUAGAAUUUGAAGAAAAAAUGCUGUAUUUGUUCUCUGUAGUUGAUGUGUAAACUUAUUUUCACUUAGAAAACCCAUAAAAUAUGUCAUUUGGUGUUCAAACCUUUGCAUUCAACUGUGUAAAUUUAAAGUGUGCAUAGGGUCUGUAAUGUUUUGAAUAUCAGAACACAAAGCUGACGGUUUUAACACUGUAAUUAAAGAAAUAUGCGAACUGUUAUAGAUGUGGAUAUAGAGUCAGGAGUAAAUGGCACAUGGUUUAUUUUUAAUACGGUCAGAGAUGCAACGUGUCCCUAAUCUCUGCACAGAAGAUGCUGCUAAAACCUAAAUUCAGCACUUACCCAGUUUGCCUAACUGACGAGGCAAACUAGGUUAAUGAGGCCGGCCAUUAAAUUAGUUAUACAGGCCGGUCUGACCUGUAGGAGAGAAAGAGAGCGGGGGGUGGAAUUAUCUCGCCAUUUAUGUGUGCUUGCACGUGUGUGUCAGAGGUGGGAAUAAUAAUCGAUUCUUAGCUGCAUUGAGAUUCCCUCUUAAAAGAUUUUGAAUUGAUUCACAAAAUGUCAUUUAGACAGGUUUCUAUUGAGUUUCUAUUUAAUUUUAACUUGAUUUGAAAGACUUUAUAAAGUAGGAUAGGUGAGUCCAGGGAGAGCUGUAACACUUGUCUCUGCCUUUAUAAUUUAGUGGUUGUUUGUGUAGUAGUGUUAUAACUGAAGUUUGGGGGGAGGAACAUGCCUGGAAGCCCUCCUUCUUACAAUCUAACGCCCUAUAAAUUCACAUCCUCACCUUUCCGUGACAAAGUGUUCGCAAUCCCCCCUGCCACCCAAUCACACAAUCAGCAUAAACAUGCUGGGGUGACCAGCUAAACCAGCACCAGACCAGCACUAAACCAGCAUAAAUCAGCUUAGACUGGCAGACAGCUUAGACUGUGCUGUUUUUUUCAGCAGGGCAGUAGUUCCCAACAUUUAAAAAAUAAACAGUACGAGUUUCUUAUACAAUAUGUGACACAAAGAUCUGUCCUU